AAAGCAGAUCGCAUGAUCAGCUUUUAAAAGGCGGCGUAAGCUGUCGCUAUGGGAUGGCCCCGCGGUGCAUUAGCUAGUUGGUAAGGUAAAGGCUUACCAAGGCGAUGAUGCAUAGCCGAGUUGAGAGACUGAUCGGCCACAUUGGGACUGAGACACGGCCCAAACUCCUACGGGAGGCAGCAGUAGGGAAUCUUCCACAAUGGACGCAAGUCUGAUGGAGCAACGCCGCGUGAGUGAAGAAGGUUUUCGGAUCGUAAAGCUCUGUUGUUGGUGAAGAAGGAUAGAGGUAGUAACUGGCCUUUAUUUGACGGUAAUCAACCAGAAAGUCACGGCUAACUACGUGCCAGCAGCCGCGGUAAUACGUAGGUGGCAAGCGUUGUCCGGAUUUAUUGGGCGUAAAGCGAGCGCAGGCGGAAGAAUAAGUCUGAUGUGAAAGCCCUCGGCUUAACCGAGGAACUGCAUCGGAAACUGUUUUUCUUGAGUGCAGAAGAGGAGAGUGGAACUCCAUGUGUAGCGGUGGAAUGCGUAGAUAUAUGGAAGAACACCAGUGGCGAAGGCGGCUCUCUGGUCUGCAACUGACGCUGAGGCUCGAAAGCAUGGGUAGCGAACAGGAUUAGAUACCCUGGUAGUCCAUGCCGUAAACGAUGAGUGCUAAGUGUUGGGAGGUUUCCGCCUCUCAGUGCUGCAGCUAACGCAUUAAGCACUCCGCCUGGGGAGUACGACCGCAAGGUUGAAACUCAAAGGAAUUGACGGGGGCCCGCACAAGCGGUGGAGCAUGUGGUUUAAUUCGAAGCAACGCGAAGAACCUUACCAGGUCUUGACAUCUAGUGCCAUUUGUAGAGAUACAAAGUUCCCUUCGGGGACGCUAAGACAGGUGGUGCAUGGCUGUCGUCAGCUCGUGUCGUGAGAUGUUGGGUUAAGUCCCGCAACGAGCGCAACCCUUGUUAUUAGUUGCCAGCAUUAAGUUGGGCACUCUAAUGAGACUGCCGGUGACAAACCGGAGGAAGGUGGGGAUGACGUCAAGUCAUCAUGCCCCUUAUGACCUGGGCUACACACGUGCUACAAUGGGCAGUACAACGAGAA
Molecule: ribosomal RNA, 1083 nt
Filed under: Lactobacillus crispatus
Lineage: Bacteria; Bacillati; Bacillota; Bacilli; Lactobacillales; Lactobacillaceae
Description: bacterial SSU rRNA
Rfam family: Bacterial small subunit ribosomal RNA
Source: RNAcentral